UACGUAGGGGGCAAGCGUUGUCCGGAUUUAUUGGGCGUAAAGAGCGUGUAGGCGGUUCGGUAGGUCCGUUGUGAAAACUCGAGGCUCAACCUCGAGACGCCGAUGGAAACCCCCGAACUAGAGUCCGGAAGAGGAGACUGGAAUUCCUGGUGUAGCGGUGAAAUGCGCAGAUAUCAGGAGGAACACCGAUGGCGAAGGCAGGUCUCUGGGCCACUACUGACGCUGAGAAGCGAAAGCAUGGGGAGCGAACAGG
RNAcentral lists this ribosomal RNA (253 nucleotides) under uncultured bacterium. Its description in RNAcentral is "partial 16S ribosomal RNA". It matches the Rfam family "Bacterial small subunit ribosomal RNA", at positions 524 to 776 of the family's 1533-position model. The record is from RNAcentral.